UACGGAAGGUGCAAGCGUUAAUCGGAAUCACUGGGCGUAAAGCGCUCGUAGGUGGCUUUGUAAGUCAGGUGUGAAAGCCCACGGCUCAACCGUGGAAUUGCACUUGAUACUGCAUUGCUUGAGUUCGGGAGAGGGUAGUGGAAUUCCAGGUGUAGGAGUGAAAUCCGUAGAGAUCUGGAGGAACACCAGUGGCGAAGGCGACUACCUGGACCGAUACUGACACUGAGGAGCGAAAGCGUGGGGAGCAAACAGGAUUAGAUACCCCGGUAGU
RNAcentral lists this ribosomal RNA (271 nucleotides) under uncultured bacterium. RNAcentral's name for it is "partial 16S ribosomal RNA". It matches the Rfam family "Bacterial small subunit ribosomal RNA", at positions 524 to 794 of the family's 1533-position model. The record is from RNAcentral.